This 4495-nucleotide long non-coding RNA is filed under the name Sus scrofa (pig). RNAcentral describes it as "lncRNA (ENSSSCG00050077633.1)". Lineage: Eukaryota; Metazoa; Chordata; Mammalia; Artiodactyla; Suidae. The record is from RNAcentral.
AAAGACAGUUGGUGACCUACCCGCUUCAUUUGCUGCAUGACAUAGGUGCCAUCAGCCCAUAGGACAGCAAGGAACCCCUUCUGCCUCUGCUUCCACAGGUGGUCUUAGUCUUAUGGGCUCAACUGUGUUCCCCCAAAGGACACACUGGCGUCCUCACCCCAGUACCCAGGAUGUGACUCCCUCCUUGGAAACAGGGCCUUUCUAGAGGUAACUAUGGUUAAAUGAGCUCCUGAGAGGGGACCCUAUUCAUAUGACCAGUGUCCUUAUUUCAAGGGGAAAUGUGGACAGAGGCAGACAUGCACGGAGCAAAGAGAGAGAAGAGGCACAGGAGGAUGUCCUGUCAAGGUCAAGUGACACAGCCAUGAGCCUCAGGUGGCCAGUCCACCCAACCACGAGGACGGAGGCCUGGACCAGGGUCCCCCUUGCAGCGCUCGGGAGGCACCAACCCCACCCACCCCUUCAUCUCGGACUUGCACCUCCGGGGCUGGGAGAGGACGCGUUUCUGCUGUGCCAGCGCCCAGCUCCCGGGACUCUGCACCCACCACGCAGAGCAGAGGCACUGCUGACAGCACACCAACCUCAGCCCGUCGGACUGCUUGCAAUUUCCAGGCUCUUUUCGGUACAUACCAGGGACGCUACAAUGACGAAGGCCCUGAGGACUCCCAGUCGGCCCCCCAGCAGACUGGGUGACCAUGAAAGCAAAGGUCUCCAGGCAAACCCCAGCACACAGGGGAAUCUACAGCCAGGAGCAGAAACAGACAGACAGACGACUGGGUGAUGAUCCGGCCCUCCGCCCUUUACAUUCUGUCAGUACCGGGAACGCUAAUGCAGGAUGCUGCAACCAAAACUGCGUUCAGGCAGGCCUGCAGAGGGAGCUCGCACUGCCUCCCACGUGUCAUCAGUUACCCAAAGGAAGCGGGGUGUCCUGCGUCUCCAAGGAGAAGGUGCCGCUGCUUUACUGCCCCACCAGCAGGAAGGAAGGUCUUCCUGCCCAGCCAGCGGAAAACGCAGAACCUCGGCCCACGAGAAGCCCGGAACUCUUCCUUCCCUUUCCUCUCUAAAACCAGGCUCCCUUCCCUGGCUUGCCACUGGAUCACCAUGGCUUGCAUUUCCUGAAUUGCAAUUAUUCCGGUUAUUCCCAAAUCAACUAAAUGAGCUAAUAAAAAAAAAAACACAACUGGCUGUUUUGUUUUUCAAGUUGACAGUACUUAGCAUGAAAUUUUCACUCAAAGCAAGGGCUAUGACUUUAGAGGCAGAAUUCAGCUCACAAUCUGGUCUGAUGCGAUGGAACCCUUCACAGAGCGACGGCCUCCUCUCUGAACCAAGUGCCCGUCUGCACGCAUCACCGCAGAGCUGACUCUAAACUCGACCUGAAACGUCAGCCCAUCAAAGAAACAGAGGAAGUGACUAAAGCAUCGCCUCCUAAAGAGACGCUCACCCAGACAGGUUUAUUAUCAAGUCAGUUCAAACUUUCAAGGAACAGAUAAUCCCCAUGCAAUAUAAACUGUUCCUGAGCAGUAAAAAAAUGAAACUUUUAAUGUCUACUACAAGUAAGAACCAUCGUGAUACCACAACCUCACAGAAAAUAAACCAAACCAACUAUGAACAGAUUCCAAAAUGCAACCAGCUGAAUGAACUAAAGAGCAACCAAUCGAAUCAAAGUGCAUAUUCAUCUAAGAUCACCUCUCACCGUCCAUUCGGGUUCUCGAGGAACGCUCAAGUAUUGUAAUAUCAGAAAACCAACUAAAGAACCUCACUGACCGAUGUGCAGUCAUCUUAAUGGACAUUGAAGAGGCCCUGGGGAACAUGCAGCACAUAUUCAGAACGAACACCCCAAGAAAAGCGGAAACAGGAAAUGAUCUUCUCAGCACAGCCAAGACCAUUUGUCUUCAAUAAGCUGAACCUGAAGAGUCAAAUGCUGAACACGUUCACACAGAAUCAGAAAGAGAGGCAGAGUCGGCAGGCACAGGGAAAGAUGCUCCAGAGACCAGCUCACACUGGUCAGAACGGCCGUCAGUACUAACUCCACAGAUAGCAAAUGCUGGAGGGGGUGUGCAGAAAAGGGAACCCUCCUUCACUGUUGGUGGGAAGGUCAAUCGGUACGACCACUAUACAAAAUAGUAUGGAGGUUCCUCAAAAAAACUAAAUUGAAAACUACUGUAUGAUCCAGCAAUGCCAUUCCUGAGCAUUUGGACAAAACUACGAAAAGGUACAUGCACCCCUCUGUUCACAGCAACACUAUUCCCAACAGCCAAGACAUGGAAACAACCUAAAUGUCCAUCAACAGAGGAAUGGAUGAAGAAGAUGCGGUACAUGUACACAAUGGAAUAGUACUCAGCCAUAAAAAAGGUCAUCCAUUGCAACGUGGAUGCAACUAGAGACCCUCAUAUGAAGUGGCUUAGAAAGAGGACAAAUAUCAUGAUGUCACUGGCACGUGGCAUCUAAAAUAUGGUACAAAUGAACCUAUCCACCAAGCAGAAACAGGGAGUUCCCUUCAUGGCUCAGCAGUUAACAAACCCGACUAGGAUCCUCGAGGAUGUGGGUUCGAUCCCUGGCCUCAAUGGGUUAAGGAUCCGGCGUUGCUGUGAGCUGUGGUGUAGGCCCGGAGCUAUAGCUCCGAUUUGACCCCCCAGCCAGCCUGGGAACUUCCAUAUGUCUCAAGUGCAGCCCUAAAAAGCAAAAUACACACACACACACAAAACAGACUCACAGACAUAGAGAACAGACUUGUGGUUGCCAAGAGAGAGGAGGGAGGGAGGGAGUGGGAUGGACUGGGAGUUUGAGGUUAGCAGAGGCAAACCAUGGCCUUCAGAAUGGAUAAACAAGGCCCAACUGUACAGCACAGGGAACUAUAUUCAAUCACCUGGGAUAGACGAUGACGGAAAAAAGUAUUUUAAAAAGAAUGUAUAUAUAAUAACUAUAUGUAUGAUUGAGUCACUUUGCUGUACAGCAGAAAUUGGAACACUAUAAAUCAGCUAUCAUUUUUUAAAAGGCAAUACGAAAAAUACAACAGAGUCAUUUUACUGCACAGCAGAAAUUAACACAAUACUGUCAAAUCCACUAUAGUACAAUAAAAUCUUUUUAAAAAUCCGAAAAAAGAAAAUUGUGCCAUUUGCAGCAACAUGGAUGGAACUAGAGACCCUCAUCCUGAGUGAAAUAAAUCAGAAAGAGAGACAAAUACCCCAUGAUAUCACUUUUAGCUGGAAUCUAAUACACGGCACAAAAGAACCUUUCCACAGAAAAGAAACUCAUGGACUUGGAGAACAGACUUGUGGUUGCCACAGGGGAAGGGGAGGGAGUGGGGUGGUUGGGGAGCUUGGGGUGCAGAGAUGCAGACUCUUGCCUUUGGAAUGGAUAAGCAAGCAGAGCCUGCUGUGUAGCACUGGGGACUAUGUCUAGUCACUUACGAUAGAGCGUGAUAAUGUGAGAAAAAAGAAUGUAUACGUGUAUGUGUGACCGGGUCACCAUGCCGGACAGUAGAAAAUUGACAGAACACUGUAAACCAGCUAUAAUGGAAAAAAAUAAAAAUUGUAUUUAAAAAAUCUGAAAAAAGGCAGAAAUAUUUGCUAUCACCAUUAUUGCUGAACAUUUUUUUAGAUAAAUCUGGCCAAUUAAAUGACCUAUACAAUAGAAAUUAGUUAUAAUCACUGCAGAAAAAGCAAAAUUAUUCUUGGAGAUGAUUUUUUACUCCUAGAAAAUCCAAUGAAUAACUACAUAACCAUCUGAAUAUGAAAGCUUAACAGGGUGCUCCGAUGACACACGCGGAUACAAAAAUCUGUACGUUUCCUACCCACCAGCCACACGUGCUUCGACAAUCUCCUGAGAAAGUUUACGCUCCCAACAAAAAAAGCGACCUACUCUGGAAAAGCCUCACAAGAAAGGUACAGAUGCUACAUGCAGAAUCUUACCGGGGCCUAUGCAGCGGUCAGGGUACUUUCGGCAGAUGCUCUCGGCUUCCCAAGAAGCUGGAAAGGAGACUCACCAGAGAAGGGCCUUGUCUCUUUUAGACCCAAGUUAGACCCGCCAUGGGCAAAACAGGGCCUGGGGCACAGUAAGCAGCUAUCACGGAGGCGUUGCUGCAGACAACGCCAAGGUCUCAGAGGCUGCCACACAACACACGGCAUGGCGUGACAGGUGGGCAGAGAUGCUCCCAGGCAGACUCCCUUCCGGGGCUCUGGGUGCAUGCCUGGCCCCCAUCCGCCCAUGCUGUUCUAACAGCCAAGAGCCGUGGCCCAAUCCAGUGUUUAAAUGACCCUUAAAGCAUGGUGCUUCACUGUGGCGUCUGUCACUUCUGAUCACAUCCACUGGCCAAGGCCAGUUAUGUGGCAGCGCCAGAUUUCUUUGAGACGGGAAAGAAAAGGCCGCUUACAGGGAGAGGUGUGAGUUGAACCACAGCGUUAAAUGGUUCCCAAUGAAUACAGAUUCAGUGUUCAACCGAGUCUUAUGGAAGACGUCCAAGUUCACAGGUACUGGAUGAAAUAAAUAAGUAAAAAAU